UCUGUGGUUUGCAGUGAUGUCUAAACUUAAAUACCUCGCUCUCAGUUUCCGGUCGUCUGCACCCAUUUCUCUUGAGAAAGUUCUGAACUGAAGUGUAUUUAUUUGUUUCUAGGAUAAAAUGGGAAAUUGGAGUGCAAAGACUGAUGAUGAAUCAGAAGACAUCAUGUACUUCCACCAGGCAGCCUUGGAGAUGCAGCGUGAGAAGAUUAGAGCACUGCAAGAGGAAUUGCAAGAAAUCCGGGAAGAAGUCAGCAAACUGAAGAGUGAACUCCAGAAGGCAGCCUUGGAGAUGCAGCGUGAGAAGAUUGAGGAAGAGGAAUUCCAAGAAAUCCGGGAAGAAGUCAGCAAACUGAAGAGUGAACUCCAGAAGGUGGUCAACUUGAGCAGUGCCUGGCUCACCACCCCAUUUGGGAGAAAAUGAGAAAUUGGAGUGCAAAGACCAAUUACGAAUCAGAAGACGAAUUUCCAUUCAGAAGGCCAGUCUUUCCACCUAUCCUCAUGAGCCUUGGCGAGGUGAUGUCAGAAGCUUGGGGGGCAGCACUGCAGGAGGAAGUAGAAGAAAUAUUGCGAAGAAGCCAACUAACUGAACAGUGAACUUCCGAAGGUGGUCAACCCAGGCAGUGCGUGGCUCACCUCUGCGCGGAUUUGGCCUCCACUGCCCCCUCUUCCAGUGUGGAGCUCUACAUUGACGAACUCCAGGACACCUUGGUCGGGGAGGAAUUUUUAACUUUUGCUACAUGCUUUCGUUGAGAAUUUUGCUGCAAUGUCAGAGUACAAAUUGACAACCUAUUUUUCAUUUUAUUUUUAUUUGAAGUCAGAAGUGACUUAACAGGUGAAAUUCUGAAGUGGUUGUCUGGAUUUUUUGUGCCUUUAUGAGCCAUUUGAGGAUUUUUUUGUUUGUUUGUUUGUUUGUUUGUUUUGGUAACCUACCCAAAGAAAAUGGUCAAAGUGCACUUGUCAAAACUCUAUGUAGCAGGGUUAACCAAGAAUAUUGAAAUUGCAGUAAACAUUAACAUACUGAUA
RNA transcript from Engraulis encrasicolus (European anchovy), 1023 nucleotides. It is a transcript of the gene named probable inactive protein kinase DDB_G0270444, with no coding region annotated. Lineage: Eukaryota; Metazoa; Chordata; Actinopteri; Clupeiformes; Engraulidae. The record is from RefSeq and is a predicted model, not a curated record. The transcript has 7 exons.